CCUGCCAGUAGUCAUAUGCUUG
RNAcentral lists this non-coding RNA (22 nucleotides) under Arabidopsis thaliana (thale cress). Lineage: Eukaryota; Viridiplantae; Streptophyta; Magnoliopsida; Brassicales; Brassicaceae. The record is from RNAcentral.